Molecule: non-coding RNA, 3284 nt
Organism: Coffea arabica (coffee)
Lineage: Eukaryota; Viridiplantae; Streptophyta; Magnoliopsida; Gentianales; Rubiaceae
Source: RefSeq, a predicted model, not a curated record
UGUUAAACCAUCAUUUUGUGCUAGUGAAUUCCAUCCAUUACAGAAAAUAUACAUCAAUCUCAUCCAAAAUGGCAGAAAGCCUAUCCUCAAGUGAUUUGGUUGAAGACUAUGCUUUGAGGGUUUCAAUUUCAAGCAACAAAGGCUUUACACGUGCUCUAAAGAGGACUGCUUGUAUUGCCAGAGAAGGGUAUGCCCUUCAUGAUUUGGGUUUAAAGAUUCAAAGUCUCAGAACUAGGAUCUCUAAUCUCACCAAAAAUUUUGGCCGGUAUGUAAAUUUAAUUGCCAGAACGGAGGAAGGAGAGUGGAGUGCUCCAUCCAGGCAGCAACCAUUAGGGCAGACUUACCCCUUUGUAGCUGAGGAGGAUGUGGUUGGACUGCGUAAUGAUGUUGAGGGGCUGGUUGAACAUUUGCUGAAAGAGGGUGAAAGUACAGAGCGCAAAAUAAGUGUGGCUUCGAUUGUCGGCAUGGGAGGUAUAGGCAAAACCACUCUUGCUAGAAAGGUAUAUCACCAUGAGAAAUUGAAGCAGUAUAUUAAAGGUUUUGCGUGGGUUUGUGUAUCACAACAAUGGCAACCAAAAGCUCUCUUGCGAGGCAUUCUACUCAACCUUACUCCUGAGCUCACUCCUGAAAACAGAAAACAGAUAAUGAAGAGCGAACGAGAUGAGCUAGCAAAGCUACUUCAAGAGCACUUGGGAGCUAGGAGAUGUUUGAUAGUCCUCGACGACAUCUGGACAACAGAUGCUUGGGAUAGGCUAAAAGAUGCAAUCCCAGUUUCGGAGCAUGGAACCAAAAUUUUGCUCACAACUCGUAUUAGAGACGUGGCGGUACAAGUUGAUCCAGAUGGUUAUUGCCAUGAACUGCGUCUUUUGAAACCGGAAGAAAGUUGGGAGUUGCUACGAAAGAAAUCGGAGUUGUUACGCGUGAAAUCAUUGAGGGAGAGAAGAGGUGAAGGUUGUGAAGAUUUCGGCAAGAUGGAAGUGUUAGGGAAGGAAAUGUUGAAAUAUUGUGGGAAUCUUCCAUUGGCCGUGGUGGUUUUGGGUGGAAUUCUUAGAACUAAACCCUGGGAGGAAUGGAAUGAAGUGCAUAAGAAUAUCAAAUCUUAUUUGGAUAAAGGAGGAAAAAUUGGAAAAGAAGGAGAGGUGCCAAGGAUUUUAGCUUACAGUUACUAUGACCUCCCUUGGCAACUAAAAUCAUGCUUCCUUUACUUGGGUAAAUUCAAGGAGGAUUAUGACAUUGGAGUAGUGAGUUUAUAUCAGAUGUGGAUAGGAGAAGGUAUGAUAUUUGAUAAUGAUAGAAGAGAGAAUGAAACGAUGUUGGAAGUUGCAGAGCGUUACUUGGAAGACUUAGCAAACAGAUGCAUGGUUGAGAUUAAAGUACAUGAGGAGGGGAAGCGUGCGGUGACAAGGUUGAAGUCAUGUCAGCUUCAUGAUCUUACGAGAGAUCUGUGCUUAGCCAAGGCAAAAGAGGAGAAUUUGUAUAAACUGGUCGAUCGCAGUCCUUCACCUCCUGCAGAUGAAGCGUAGUAUGGUUUAGUCUUUCGUUUGCUUCCAAAGGAUAUCUCUCAAUACAACUUUCCGCCAAAAGAACAAACUAAGCAUCUUCGCUCAUUCAUGUGUGAUACAUUGGUAGACUAUUCUCAAGUCAAGAAUUUGAAGAUGCUCAGGGUUUUGGCCUCCCAAAGUUGUUAUCCCAAAUUACCUCUGGGAUAUGUCGGUAAGCUUAUCCAUUUGAGAUGUUUGAGAUUGAGAGGUCAGAGUAUAAACUUACCAUAUUCCUUGGGCAAUUUAAAGUACUUGGAAACUCUCGAUUUAUCUGAUAGUGAUGUUGGUAAAAUACCGAACGUGCUAUGGAAAUUGAAACGUUUGAAAUAUCUUUAUCUUCCGGACCUGCAAGAGAGAUGGGAACCUUUGAAAUAUCCUGAUUUUCUGGACCUGCAAGAGAGAUUGGAACGUUUGAAAUAUCUUUGUCUUCGGAACCUCUGGUGGCCCCCUCAGUGUUGUAAGCUACGGUUGAGCGAGCAGUUGGAGAUACUUGAAUCAUUCGAUAACGUAUUUUGCUAUCCAAAAGAUUUAUGCAAAAUGUUGAAUCUCAGAUCUUUCAAAGCAAACGUGUAUAAAAAUCUCGAGGACCUGGAACACAUCAUCAAUCAUAUAUCAAACUUGGACUGCUUGUGCAUCAGCUCACUUACAAUCAAUGACUUUGAUUUUGGCAGCAACAGGGGUUUGGAUGUUCUUUCAAGGGUGUUGUUUAGUAGGAAAAUUCAUGAAUUAGUGAUCGACGAUGGUAUAUGCAAGAAGUUACCGGAUUACCAAUCCCAUAUGUUUCCUGACCCUGCAGGACUUACUCAAUUAAAGCUGCGUUAUACUAGAAUUAAGGAAGACCCAAUGGGAACACUCGAGAAGCUUCCUAACUUAAGAAUACUGGAAGUUGGGUCAUUUUCUUUUCUGGGCCAAAAAAUGACCUGCCAUUCAGGGGGAUUUCCCGAACUAAAACAUCUCAGGCUUGAUUAUUUGAUUUACUUGAAGCGGUGGGUGGUGAAAGAAGGGGCCAUGCCUAAGCUCUCAAGUUUAUGGAUUGGGGAGUGUGAAGAAUUGGAAAUGAUUCCAGAUGGGUUGAGAUAUGUAACCACCCUAAAAGAGGUAUCUCUUGUGGACAUGCCUGAAGAAUUCAACAAUAGAAUUAGGGGGGUGAAUGGUCAACAAGGAGAAGAUUAUGAUAAAAUAAGGAAGGUGGCUUCAGUUAAAAUCCUCAGAGAUCUUGAAGAUAUGAUGGGUUAUCAAGUAGAAAUUGUUCGUCCAAGCAACCCUGUUUGACCAAACCCUGGGUCUUGUCUUAAGAAAAUUCUACACUGAAUCUCCUGACUUUCCUUGAUCUCAUCCGAUUCAAAUGUGAGCUGCUGUUAUGGAACUCCAAAUGAUCUGAAACUAGUAGGACAAGAUUGCAAGUGGUUAGAUCUUAGGGAAAGAUACGAAUUUGUUAUUUGAUCCUUCACUUUAGUGUUUGAUUAACAAGGAGAUAAUGUGUGAUCAUUUUUAGCUUUUGGUUUGGUUAGUCUCACUUUGUUUAGCUGCUCAAACUUUUCUUGUGCUCACAAGCUGUUGGCAUAGAGCUAGAUUCGGAGCAAGAUUCGGCAAUGUAGUUGGGAGGAGGCCAUCUAUGUUCUUGUGUUCUUAAGACUAGCAGAAAUAUACUGUGCUUGCGCACGGUGAAGAAUGGAUGUAAUGCCCACAAUGAGCAUUAUAGUGUAUGAAUUUAAUAAAGUACCAGAAUUGAUAUUUGCAGUA